UAUGGAAUUUCCAGGCAAGAGGUCGAAUCAGAGCUAGAGCUGCCAGCGUAUACCACAGCCACAACUACAAGGGAUCCAAGCUGUCUGCAACCUACACCACAGUUCAUGGCAAAGCCAGAUCCUUGACCCACUGAGCGAGGCCAGGGAUCUAAACCAUGUCCUCGUGGAUACUAGUUAGGUUCUCGGAGACUUUGUUUUUUUAAGUUAAAAGUUAAACUUUGUGCUGCCAGUUGUCUUUUCCUGAGGUCUUGCAUCUCUCUACUUCCCCAGGUGGUCCUUCUCCACCAUGAAGCUAAGGAUCCCAGACUGGAUGGUGAAGAUGGCCUGGGCUAGGUUGCCUGGAUGGAAAUCUAUGACAAAAAGACCCAGCUUUUUAUUGCACUUAAAUCUUCCAUUGGUUUUAUCAGUUGACUUUGCCAUGAAUAACCUUAUGGAUGCGGCUGGACCCAUAUGUCAUUCAAAAAUCAGAAAGGAGGAACUCAGCAUACAUGCAAGCUAUUCCUGUUUUUGGGUAGUAGUAUCUCAACCAGAGCGUCAAUAGAAACUUACCUGCUGCAGGCAUACAUUGGAGAUAUUGUGGAUUCAAUUCCAGAACCCCACAACAAAGCCAAUACUGCAGUAACGUGAGUCACACAAAUUUUUUAGUUGAGUAUAGAAUUAUGUUUAUACUGUACUCUAAUCUAUUAAGUGUGAAAUAAUAGCAUUAUAUCUUUUAAAAGUACAUACUUUAAUUAAAAAACACUUUGUUAAAAAUUGCUAUCCUCUGAGCCUUCAGGGAGUCACAGAAAUAACAUCAAAGAUCACUGAUCACAGGUUACCAUUACAAAUAUAAUAAUGAUGAAAAAGUUUGAAAUAUUGUAAAGUACCAAAAUGCAACACAGAGAGACAAAGUAAAGAAAUUAUGUUGGGGGAGUUCCUGCUGUGGUGCAGUGGAUUAAGAACCUGACUCUAGUGCUCAGGUUGCUGCAGAAGUUCAGGUUCAAUUCCUGCCCCACAUAGUGGAUUAAAGGAUCUGGCGUUACUGUGGAGUAGGUUGCAGCUGUGACUCGGAUUCAGUCCUUGGCCCUGGAACUUCCAUAUGCCCAUGGGUAUGGCCAUAAAAAGAAAAAAAUCCUAAUGGAAAAAUUUGCUAAUAUAAGGUUGCCACAUAUGUUCAAUUUGUAAAAAACACAGUAUUUGUGAAGUGUGAUAAAAUGAGAUAUACCUGUAAUAAUAAUUGAGAACAAACUUUCAUUUAUAUAUUGGACAGUUUGAUACUCAUAUUCAUGAAUUAGCUGCUCAAAUUAUUGGCUCACUUUUAGGUUUUUAUAUGAUACCUUUUAAGACAGCAUAAAAUAACAAUGAAAAAAUAGGUAGAGGAAAAAUGUGUAAGCCCACUUCACAGAAAGAUUACUUUGGACUCUUGAGAAUGGGUCAGAGUGCAGUGGUGGGCAGAAUUAUAAAGUGGCUCCAGAAAUCACUACUUGCUGGUACACCUGCUUUUGUAAAAUCCCCUCCUCUUGAGCGCAGGUGGAACCUGUGAUUGCUUGGAAUCAGGAAACUAUGGCAAAGAUGAGGGGUAAUGAAGGCAUGAUAAUAUCCUAUUACAUCAACUCUGACUUCAGGAAGAGGGAAAUUAACCUGUGUGUAACUGACUUAACCAGGUGGACCCUUUAAAAAGAAUUCUCUGGGAUGAGAAUAUCUUGAUGGCUCUGAAGAAGUCAGUUACCAUAUUGUCAGAGGGUCAAUGAAGGGGCAUCAGAGAAAAAAACUGGGAGCAGCCUUUGGAGCUGAAAGUGGGCUGUGCCUGACAGCCCAGGAGAAAACAGGGGCCUCAGUCCUACAGAAGGGAAUUGAAUUCCGCCAGCAACCAUGUGAGCUUGGAUAGAGGUCCCCAAAAUUCAGGAAAAAAUGUGGAUAUUGAAAUUUUAAAUUGGAGCCUUCUGAGGCCUGGCACAGAGGACCUAGUUAAGCCAUCUCCACGCUUGUGACCCAUGAAAGUGUGAGAAAAAUGAAGGUAUGUUUUAUUUUAAGACUCUUAAGUUUGUGGUGGCUUAUUAAGUAGCAAUAGAAAGCUACUAUAGGGAGUUCUGUUGUGGCACAGCAGAAGCAAAUCUGACAAGGAACCAUGAGGCUGCGGUUUGAUCCCUGGCCUUGCUCAGUGGGUUAAGGAUCCAGCAUUGCCAUGAGCUGUGGUGUAGGUCACAGACACAGCUCAGAUUUGGUGUUGCUGUGGCUGUGGCAGAGGCCAGCAGCUGUGACUCAGAUUAGACACCUAGACUGGGAACCUCCAUAUACCGGGGGGUGGCCCUAAAUAGAUAAAAAAAUUAAAAACCAUGCUAUAAUGUGUGUACAAAUAGAAAAGUCAUUAGAAGAGAAGAUAGAUCAUUGUGAACUCAAAUAGUUUUAGAUCAGAAAGUAUUUCUCUAGAUAAAAUUCUAAAUCUACGCUAAUAAGGUGGAUUGUUUUUAAUGCCUUCAUGUAUUUUUGACCUGGCGCUUUAGGGUAUUUAUAUCACCUACUUUUUAUUCCUAACUCUUCAGACUUUGAAUUGCUGCACUGGAAAUUCAUGAAUUGUACUUUGUAGCUUCAUUGAUUGUGGUGAUUUUAAAUCUGUGGAAAAGUUUAAUCAAGUUUAGAAGUAGACAUUUCUAUUCCUCAAAAUUUUAUAAAUUUGUUGCAGAUAAUAUUUUGAGUGUCACUAUUCCAUACACACCUCAAACUGAAGUGUGUUUUGAUCAUUAUCAUGAAAGUAGAAUGAAUUGCCUUAGGUAUCUUGAGUCUUUUCUGUCAGAAGAAGGAUAUAUUACACAUUUCUAGAGCUUUUGAGUUAAAGAAAUACUUAUAUCAAAAGCCAAAUAACCAACUUUCCUUUCCUCAUUCUAAGCCUCUUUCUAGAUGGGUAAAUGUCUAUGAAAUUACAAAAUUAGCAGUCUUCCUAAAAUGUAGAUUUGGGUAGAAAUUAUAUGGCAAUGUAGUCAGGAAAACAAAUGGCCCUGUAUUUGUACUUAGAAAUGUAUACUCUGUGGCACUUUGCUUACUCCCUGAUGCUUACUUUAGUUAGCUGACCAAAUGGAUAAAAUGACCACACUUCAUGGUAAUCUCAGUCUAAACUCACUUUUAAAAUGGAAUUGAUUGUGGUUAUCUUAAUUGUUAGUUCUAAAAUAUAUAAUUCUGUUAGAAUAACAUUAAUGCAUACUGUUAUAAAAUUGCAUAGAACAUCUUAUAUUUAUGGUGUUCACUUACAGAGAACACUUUUUCAUUUAUGUUAUUCUGUCAUUGUUUUAUAUUUCCCCUGGAUCUAUCCAUUCCCAUUGAUAAAUUACAUAGAUGAUUUUUGUUAAGGACACAUGCUAAGGUGACCUCACUGGGGAUCUUAUCUUCUCUCAUUGCAUAUAGGCAAUACCUGUGACACAAUUCUAAGUAAAAAAAUCAUGGUAAAUUUGAAGGAUUUUUUGCACAUUUAAUUAAGGUCAUAAAUUAGUUAUCCUUGAGUUAAUCAAAAGAAAAAUCAUCCAGUGAAAACCUAACCAUUACAUGUGAACCUUUUAAAAGAAGGUGCUAGGUUCUCUCUGUUAUUAGGGAGUCAAAGCUGCUGAAAUUUCACUGACUGAAGUUGCUGGCUUUAAAGAAGCAAUCUACCAAGAACCUACAGCUGCAAGGAAAUUCAACGACUUGAGAAAACCUAGAAAUGUGUUCUUUCUAGUUAAG
This 3690-nucleotide long non-coding RNA is filed under the name Sus scrofa (pig). RNAcentral describes it as "lncRNA (ENSSSCG00060047542.1)". Lineage: Eukaryota; Metazoa; Chordata; Mammalia; Artiodactyla; Suidae. The record is from RNAcentral.